UAAAUGCAUCGAACGGCAGACGGACUUCGGUCUGGUGGCGAGUGGCGAACGGGUGAGUAAUGUAUCGGAACGUGCCCAGUAGCGGGGGAUAACUACGCGAAAGCGUAAGCUAAUAACCGCAUAACGCCCUACGGGGGGAAAGCAGGGGAUCUUCGGACCUUGCACUAUUGGAGCGGCCGAUAUCGGAUUAGCUAGUUGGUGGGGUAACGGCCUACCAAGGCGACGAUCCGUACUGGUUUGAGAGGACGACCAGCCACACUGGGACUGAGACACGGCCCAACUCUACGGGAGGCAGCAGUGGGGAAUUUUGGCAAUGGGGGAACCCUGAUCAACCAUCCCGCGUGUGCAAUAAGCCUUCGGGUUUAAAGCAUUUUUGGAGGAAAGAACGUCCCGGGUAUACCCGAAACUACGGUCCUGCAAAUAAGAC
This 427-nucleotide ribosomal RNA is filed under the name Streptosporangium sp. TERI 1007. RNAcentral's name for it is "bacterial SSU rRNA". It matches the Rfam family "Bacterial small subunit ribosomal RNA", at positions 52 to 492 of the family's 1533-position model. Lineage: Bacteria; Bacillati; Actinomycetota; Actinomycetes; Streptosporangiales; Streptosporangiaceae. The record is from RNAcentral.